This 467-nucleotide ribosomal RNA is filed under the name uncultured bacterium. Its description in RNAcentral is "partial 16S ribosomal RNA". It matches the Rfam family "Bacterial small subunit ribosomal RNA", at positions 28 to 507 of the family's 1533-position model. The record is from RNAcentral.
GACGAACGCUGGCGGCGUGCUUAACACAUGCAAGUCGAACGGAAAGGCCCUGCUUUUGUGGGGUUCUCGGUUGGCAAACGGGUGAGUAACACGGAAGUAACCUCCCCUGCACUUUGGGAUAACUUCAGGAAACUGGGCCUAAUACCGUAUAGGAUCUCCUCUUCCAGGGUGGGGUUUGGAAAGUUUCGGCGUUUGGGAUUGAAUUCGCGGCUUAUCAGCUGGUUGGUGGGGUAGUGGCUUACCAAGGCUUGGACGGGUAGCCGCCCUGAGAGGGUGACCGGCAACAUGGGGAUUGGGAUACGGCCAGGACUCAUACGGGAGGCAGGAGUGGGGAAUAUUGCACAAUGGGCGGAAGCCUGAUGGAGCAACGCCGCGUGCGGGAUGACGGCCUUCGGGUUGGAAACCGCUUUCGCCUGUGACGAAGCGUGAGGGACGGAAUGGGUAAAGAAGCACCGGCUAACUACGUG